CCUACGGGUGGCAGCAGUGAGGAAUAUUGGUCAAUGGGCGCGAGCCUGAACCAGCCAAGUCGCGUGAAGGAUGACGGCCCUACGGGUUGUAAACUUCUUUUAUCAAGGAAUAAAGUGAGCCACGUGUGCCUUUCGGUAUGUACUUUAUGAAAAAGGAUCGGCUAACUCCGUGCCAGCAGCCGCGGUAAUCCGGAGGUUCCGGGCGUUAUCCGGAUUUAUUGGGUUUAAAGGGAGCGUAGGUGGGAAGUUAAGUCAGUUGUGAAAGUUUGCGGCUUAACCGGUGAAGUGCAAUUGAUACUGGCUGUCUGGAGUGCGGGUGAGGUAGGCGGAAUGCGUGGUGUAGCGGUGAAAUGCAUAGAUAUCACGAAGAACUCCGAUUGCGAAGGCAGCUUACGAAACCGCCACUGACGCUGAUGCACGAAAGUGUGGGUAUCAAACAGGAUUAGAUACCCGUGUAGUC
RNAcentral lists this ribosomal RNA (460 nucleotides) under uncultured bacterium. RNAcentral describes it as "partial 16S ribosomal RNA". It matches the Rfam family "Bacterial small subunit ribosomal RNA", at positions 338 to 795 of the family's 1533-position model. The record is from RNAcentral.